CACAAAUGGAAAAAAUGUGUCAGCAGGC
Molecule: non-coding RNA, 28 nt
Filed under: Mus musculus (house mouse)
Lineage: Eukaryota; Metazoa; Chordata; Mammalia; Rodentia; Muridae
Source: RNAcentral